This 253-nucleotide ribosomal RNA is filed under the name uncultured bacterium. Its description in RNAcentral is "partial 16S ribosomal RNA". It matches the Rfam family "Bacterial small subunit ribosomal RNA", at positions 524 to 776 of the family's 1533-position model. The record is from RNAcentral.
UACGUAGGGGGCAAGCGUUGUCCGGAAUCAUUGGGCGUAAAGCGCGCGUAGGCGGUUUGGUAAGUCGGGUGUGAAAACCAGAGGCUCAACCUCUGGCCUGCAUCCGAUACUGCCCGACUAGAGGUAGGUAGGGGAGAUCGGAAUUCCUGGUGUAGCGGUGAAAUGCGCAGAUAUCAGGAGGAACACCGGUGGCGAAGGCGGAUCUCUGGGCCUUACCUGACGCUGAGGCGCGAAAGCUAGGGGAGCAAACAGG